CCCGCACAAGCGGCGGAGCAUGCGGAUUAAUUCGAUGCAACGCGAAGAACCUUACCAAGGCUUGACAUACACCGGUAACGCCCAGAGAUGGGUGCCCCUUUGUGGUCGGUGUACAGGUGGUGCAUGGGUUGUCGUCAGCUCGUGUCGUGAGAUGUUGGGUUAAGUCCCGCAACGAGCGCAACCCUCGUCCUAUGUUGCCAGCGGGUCAUGCCGGGGACUCAUGGGAGACUGCCGGGGUCAACUCGGAGGAAGUGGGAUGACGUCAAAUCAUCAUGCCCCUUAUGUCUUGGGCUUCACGCAUGCUACAAUGGCCGGUACAAAGGGCUGCGAUACCGCGAGGUGGAGCGAAUCCCAGAAAGCCGGUCUCAGUUCGGAUUGGGGUCUGCAACUCGACCCCAUGAAGUCGGAGUCGCUAGUAAUCGCAGAUCAGCAACGCUGCGGUGAAUACGUUCCCGGGCCUU
RNAcentral lists this ribosomal RNA (461 nucleotides) under uncultured Cellulomonas sp. RNAcentral describes it as "bacterial SSU rRNA". It matches the Rfam family "Bacterial small subunit ribosomal RNA", at positions 920 to 1382 of the family's 1533-position model. The record is from RNAcentral. Lineage: Bacteria; Bacillati; Actinomycetota; Actinomycetes; Micrococcales; Cellulomonadaceae.